GGGCCUCUAGCUCAAUGGUCAGAGCUGCGGACUUUUAAUCCGUAGGUUGUGGGUUCGAGUCCCACGGGGCCCACCG
Molecule: transfer RNA, 76 nt
Filed under: Janibacter limosus
Lineage: Bacteria; Bacillati; Actinomycetota; Actinomycetes; Micrococcales; Intrasporangiaceae
Also listed under: 1 other name
Description: tRNA-Lys
Rfam family: tRNA
About the family: Transfer RNA (tRNA) molecules are approximately 80 nucleotides in length.
Source: RNAcentral